This 337-nucleotide ribosomal RNA is filed under the name uncultured Glomus. Its description in RNAcentral is "SSU rRNA". It matches the Rfam family "Eukaryotic small subunit ribosomal RNA", at positions 755 to 1092 of the family's 1831-position model. Lineage: Eukaryota; Fungi; Glomeromycota; Glomeromycetes; Glomerales; Glomeraceae. The record is from RNAcentral.
CUUUGAAAAAUUAGAGUGUUUAAGCAGGCUAACGCCUGAAUACAUUAGCAUGGAAUAAUGAAAUAGGACGUUUGAUCCUAUUUUGUUGGUUUCUAGGAUUGACGUAAUGAUUAAUAGGGAUAUUGGGGGCAUUAGUAUUCAAUUGUCAGAGGUGAAAUUCUUUGGAUUUAUUGAAGACUAACUACUGCGAAAAGCAUUUGCCAAGGAUGUUUUCAUUAAUCAAGAACGAAAGUUAGGGGAUCGAAGACGAUCAGAUACCGUCGUAGUCUUAACCAUAAACUAUGCCGACUAGGGAUCGGAUGAUGUUAAUUUUUAAUGACUCAUUCGGCGCCUUACG